This 1424-nucleotide long non-coding RNA is filed under the name Cottoperca gobio. RNAcentral describes it as "lncRNA (ENSCGOG00000016184.1)". The record is from RNAcentral. Lineage: Eukaryota; Metazoa; Chordata; Actinopteri; Perciformes; Bovichtidae.
ACCACCUCCCCACCAUUGAAAAUGGAGGAGGUGAUUUUGGGGUACAAUUGACUCUGUUCUGCCAACAAUUCCAGCCCACAUUUGUUGAACUAAACAAACUCCUCAUGAUGAAAUUAGGUCCAACUGACUAUGCAAAAAUCAGAGAACAAGUAACAUUUGAACACGUCUUGAAAAAGAAAAAGCUCAGCUCACGCUCAUGCAUGCUGUAGCCACAAAUGUUGCACCCCCUCAUCAGCGUGGUCGUUUCAGAGGAAGAGGAAGAGGAUUCUCUCAGCCCAGGCAACAAAACCUGUGGCAGCAGCCACGUGAACAGGGAUGUUUUCACUGCGGCGACCCAAACCAUUGGGUAAGAGACUGUCCAUUACAACCACAACAGUCAUCACGUGGGCGCGGCUGGUGAAACAGCAGAGGUUACAGAGGAGGAGAGGUAGGAGGUCCAAAUCGUAACCAUCAUCAGGGUUACAAUCAAUAGUCCAACUGGCAGGGCGGGCCAACCGUCACAGCCAUCUGAUUGAAUAGAGGAGAAGGGGGAUUGCGAGGCAGGAGGGGAUGACGUCACCACCACCCCCGACAUCUGAACAAGGAUCCCUAGCUACCUGUCCACCCGCCUACCUGCUACCUGCUACCCACUUCACCCUCUGCCUCCACGAGCUGGAUGUUCUCCGUCCUCCGUCCCCUUUCCCUGGAAACCCCUUCAAUAAACCUCCCACCUAUUGCUCCAAGUUUGUGUCCUGCGUUUGGGUCCUUCCCUUGUUGCACACGUUUUCACAUUAAUGGCAAUGAAGGAUAAAACAAUUACUGACGCAAUAACUUUCCAGAGUUGUAGAAUCAGGUUAAAAAUCACUUUGCAAUGUUUUGAUGUCUGAUAAGCCUUCAAAUCACUCCAAUUAUAUUUUGUGGAACACAGAGUGUGUUAGGAAAGUAAAUCAGUUAUUGUGGGGAGGCUUGCCAGCACUAGUGCUGGUUUGCCUACCCUUUCAAUCACAUGACUCCCAUCUUGCAUAUUGUAGCAGUCCCUUGGGAGUCUCCUGAACUGGAGCUGCUGUAUGGGCUUAUUGUUUCUUUGCAGAGGAGGGACUCGACUGUAGCUUUUAGAGGCACCUUCAGACAGUAGGAAGAGGUGAUCUUUAAACUUGUGAGGUGAACUUAUUUUAAAGAAUUUUACCAAACUAUUAGAUGAGGUUUGGCCAUUCUGAUUGCAGUGUUCUAUGUGUAUUCACAGCCGCAUUAACAUGCAUAUGUCCUAAUCUACAAGAUUUCAUGUUAAUACCAGAUGGAAAUUGAAUCUUUGUCAGAUACCAGCAUUUUUUCACCUAUGACUCCAUGCUUCUCUCUUAGAGAUGAUUUGAUGUUUUUCUUUUGCUGCUACACUUACUAAUUUAACCUGAUAAGAUGCGUGUAACUGAGAAAUAAAGCACUUCAAG